RNA transcript from Nycticebus coucang (slow loris), 1430 nucleotides. It is a transcript of the gene named casein kinase II subunit alpha-like, with no coding region annotated. The transcript has a single exon. NCBI's taxonomy places the organism in Eukaryota, Metazoa, Chordata, Mammalia, Primates, Lorisidae. The record is from RefSeq and is a predicted model, not a curated record.
GCCGCCAUAUUGUCUGUGUGAGGAGAGGGGAGAGCGGCCGCUACUGCUGCCGCUACCACCACAGUUUGAAGAAAACAAGUCUGAAACAAGGUCUUACCCCUAGCUGCCUCUGAACACGGUGACUUGCCAGAUCUCUAAACAUCAAGUCCAGCUUUGUCCGCCAACCUGUCUGACAUGUCGGGAUCCGUGCCAGGCAGGGCCAGAGUUUCCACAGAUGUUUAUACGCACAGACUCCCGAGAAUACUGGGAUUAUGAAUCACAUGUGGUGGAAUGGGGAAGUCAAGAUGACUACCAGCUAGUUCGAAAAUUAGGCCGGAGUAAAUACAGUGAAGUAUUUGAAGCUGUCAACAUCACAAAUAAUGAAAAAGUUGUUGUUAAAAUUCUCAAGCCAGUAAAAAAGAAGAAAGUUAAGCGUGAAAUAAAGAUUUUGGAGAAUUUGAGAGGAGGUCCCAAUAUCAUCACAUUGGCAGACAUUGUAAAAGACCCUGUGUCAUGAACCCCUGCCUUGGUUUUUUAACACAUAAACAACACAGACUUCAAGCAGUUGUACCAGACGUUAACAGACUAUGAUAUUCGAUUUUACAUACCAGACUGAUAUUCGAUUUUACAUGUAUGAGAUUUUGAAGGCCCUAGAUUAUUGUAACAGCAUGGGAAUAAUGCACAGAGAUGUGAAGCCCCAUAAUGUCAUGAUUGAUCAUGAACACAGAAAGCUACCGCUAAUAGAUUGGGGUUUGGCUGAGUUCUAUCAUCCUGGCCAAGAAUAUAAUGUCCCAGUUGCUUCCCGAUACUUUAAAGGUCCUGAGCUACUUGUAGACUAUCAGAUGUAUGAUUACAGUUUGGAUAUGUGGAGCUUGGGUUGUAUGCUGGCAAAUAUGAUCUUUUGGAAGGAGCCAUUUUUCCAUGGACAUGACAAUUAUGAUCAGUUGGUGAGGACAGCCAAGAUUCUGGGGACAGAAGAUUUAUAUGACUAUAUUGACAAAUACAACAUUGAAUUAGAUCCACGUUUCAAUGAUAUCUUAGGCAGACAUUCUCGUAAGUGAUGGGAACGCUUUGUCCACAGUGAAAACCAGCACCUUGUGAGCCCUGAAGCCUUGGAUUUCCUGGACAAGCUGCUGCGAUAUGACUACCAGUCACGGCUUACCACAAGAGAGGCCAUGGAGCAUCCUUAUUUCUACACUGUUGUGAAGGACCAGGCUCAAAUGGGUUCAGCUAGCAUGCCAGGGAGCAGUACGUCUGUCAGCAGCGCCAACAUGAUGUCAGGGAUUUCUUCAGUGCCAACUCCUUCACCUCUUGGACCUGUGGCUCGCCAGUGAUUGCUUCUGCCAACCCCCUUGGGAUGCUUGUUCCAGCUGCUGCUGGUGCCCAACAGUAGUGGCCCCAUCUGUCUCCUGAUGCCUGAGCAGAGGUGGGGGAGUCCACCCUCUCCUUGA